This 739-nucleotide ribosomal RNA is filed under the name uncultured bacterium. Its description in RNAcentral is "bacterial SSU rRNA". It matches the Rfam family "Bacterial small subunit ribosomal RNA", at positions 52 to 807 of the family's 1533-position model. The record is from RNAcentral.
UACCAUGCAAGUCGAGCGAUGAAGCCCCUUCGGGAGUGGAUUAGCGGCGGACGGGUGAGUAACACGUGGGUAACCUGCCUCAAAGAGGGGGAUAGCCUCCCGAAAGGGAGAUUAAUACCGCAUAACAAGUAACUUCCGCAUGGAAGUAACUUUAAAGGAGAAAUCCGCUUUGAGAUGGACCCGCGGCGCAUUAGCUAGUUGGUAGGGUAACGGCCUACCAAGGCAACGAUGCGUAGCCGACCUGAGAGGGUGAUCGGCCACAUUGGAACUGAGAGACGGUCCAGACUCCUACGGGAGGCAGCAGUGGGGAAUAUUGCACAAUGGGCGGAAGCCUGAUGCAGCAACGCCGCGUGAGUGAAGAAGGUUUUCGGAUUGUAAAGCUCUGUCUUUGGGGACGAUAAUGACGGUACCCAAGGAGGAAGCCACGGCUAACUACGUGCCAGCAGCCGCGGUAAUACGUAGGUGGCAAGCGUUGUCCGGAAUUACUGGGCGUAAAGAGUGCGUAGGCGGAUAUUUAAGUGAGAUGUGGAAUACCCGGGCUUAACCCGGGCACUGCAUUUCAAACUGGAUAUCUAGAGUGCAGGAGAGGAGAACGGAAUUCCUAGUGUAGCGGUGAAAUGCGUAGAUAUUAGGAAGAACACCAGUGGCGAAGGCGGUUCUCUGGACUGUAACUGACGCUGAGGCACGAAAGCGUGGGUAGCAAACAGGAUUAGAUACCCUGGUAGUCCACGCCGUAAAC